CGGGUUGUAAACCGCUGUCAGAGAGGCGGAAAUAUAGGGGGGGUUCUCCCUUCUAUUUGACCUAUUCUCAGAGGAAGUGCGGGCUAAGUCCGUGCCAGCAGCCGCGGUAACACGGACCGCACGAACGUUAUUCGGUAUCACUGGGCUUAAAGGGUGCGUAGGCGGCUUUGCAAGUUGGGUGUGAAAGCCCUCGGCUCAACCGAGGAAUUGCGCUCAAUACUGCCGAGCUCGAGAGAGACAGAGGUAAGCGGAACUAAUGGUGGAGCGGUGAAAUGCGUUGAUAUCAUUAGGAACACCGGUGGCGAAGGCGGCUUACUGGGUCUUUCUGACGCUGAGGCACGAAAGCCGAGGGGAGCGGAACGGGAUUAGACUACCCCGGUAGUCCUGGCCGUAAACGAUGAGCACGUGGGUCGAACGUCCCCCUCACAGGUAUUUCGGCCGUAGACGAAAGUGUUAAGUGCUCCGCCGUGGGGAGUAUGGUCGACAAGGCUAG
This 493-nucleotide ribosomal RNA is filed under the name uncultured Planctomycetota bacterium. RNAcentral describes it as "bacterial SSU rRNA". It matches the Rfam family "Bacterial small subunit ribosomal RNA", at positions 419 to 897 of the family's 1533-position model. Lineage: Bacteria; Pseudomonadati; Planctomycetota. The record is from RNAcentral.